Pelobates cultripes (western spadefoot toad) is the source of this 341-nucleotide non-coding RNA. The record is from the annotation of a GenBank genome assembly. Lineage: Eukaryota; Metazoa; Chordata; Amphibia; Anura; Pelobatidae.
GUUGGCACUUUAAAUCUCCAUCGCAAAGCAACUUUCUCAAAAAGGCAUUUAGGUUUUUGUCCAGACCAUAACGUUUUCAACAUUUAAUGUUUGUGAAUAUUCUGUCAAUCCUCAUUCUUAGCUGAUGGGUCUGCUAAAUUGGGAAGCUUGGGUUCAUACAGAUUGUACUUGGUAGAUAGAAUUCUAUACACCAACUUGUUUUUGUUGAGCUGCUUGAAGCAAACAGGAGUUAAAAUGUGGUCGUGAACGAUUGUUCGUGAGCCUGAAUAAUAUUAAUUGCCCUAGUAUAUAUUGUGAGUUAAUUAUCUAAGAAUUAUUCGGUCAUGGGCAUUUUACUAAAG